AGCUCCAAUAGCGUAUAUUAAAGUUGUUGCAGUUAAAAAGCUCGUAGUUGGAUUUCAGACGGGGUGCGAGGCAGUCUUGCCAAAAUAGGCUCGCACUGUCUCCCCUCAUCUACACUCUCUCGAUGGACCGUGCUGUUUACUUUAUUGUACGCGGCAUCAGGGACUCGGGACGUUUACUUUGAAAAAAUUAGAGUGUUCAAAGCAGGCUUUCAAGCCCGAAUACAUGAGCAUGGAAUAAUAGAAUAGGACUGCGGUUCUAUUUUGUUGGUUUCUCGCGAUCGCAGUAAUGAUUAAGAGGGACGGCUGGGGGCAUCCGUAUUUCGUUGUCAGAGGUGAAAUUCUUGGAUUUACGAAAGACGAACAAUUGCGAAAGCAUUUGCCAAGAAUGUUUUCA
This 394-nucleotide ribosomal RNA is filed under the name marine Metazoa environmental sample. RNAcentral describes it as "SSU rRNA". It matches the Rfam family "Eukaryotic small subunit ribosomal RNA", at positions 587 to 972 of the family's 1831-position model. Lineage: Eukaryota; Metazoa. The record is from RNAcentral.